Molecule: unclassified non-coding RNA, 305 nt
Filed under: plant metagenome
Description: partial contains 5.8S ribosomal RNA, internal transcribed spacer 2, and large subunit ribosomal RNA
Rfam family: 5.8S ribosomal RNA (bases 1-105)
Source: RNAcentral
GAAAUGCGAUAAGUAAUGUGAAUUGCAGAAUUCAGUGAAUCAUCGAAUCUUUGAACGCACAUUGCGCCCGCCAGUACUCUGGCGGGCAUGCCUGUUCGAGCGUCAUUUCAACCAUCAAGCCCCGGGCUUGUGUUGGGGACCUGCGGCUGCCCGCAGGCCCUGAAAAACAGUGGCGGGCUCGCUGUCACACCGAGCGUAGUAGCAUACAUUCUCGCUCAGGGCGGGCUGCGGGUUCCGGCCGUUAAACGACCUUCAUAACCCAAGGUUGACCUCGGAUCAGGUAGGAAGACCCGCUGAACUUAAGC